This 174-nucleotide microRNA precursor is filed under the name Oryza brachyantha (malo sina). Its description in RNAcentral is "MIR812 microRNA precursor family". It matches the Rfam family "MIR812 microRNA precursor family". Lineage: Eukaryota; Viridiplantae; Streptophyta; Magnoliopsida; Poales; Poaceae. The record is from Rfam by way of RNAcentral.
AAUAAGAUCAUUUUUUAGUUUUUUGAUGCAAUGUUUUGACUGUUUCUCUUAUUUGAAAUUUUAAAUACUAGAUGAUAAAACAUGAAUAGUACUUUAUGCGUGACUAAUUUUUUAAAAUUUUUGUAUAAAUUUUUCAAAUAAGACUAAUGGUCAAACGUCGGACACGGAAAAACA